UCUCCGUUGGUGAACCAGCGGAGGGAUCAUUACAGGACUCGCAAGACUCCUUCACCCUGUGAACCUCACUACAAGCACGUUGCUUCGGCGGGUGUCCCGGCGGGGGUUUUCCCUCGCCGGGGCGCACAGCCCGCCGGCAGCCUACUAUACUCUGUCUCUUUGCGUUGGCAUCUCGAGAAAAAACAAACAAGUUAAAACUUUCAACAACGGAUCUCUUGGUUCUC
This 224-nucleotide unclassified non-coding RNA is filed under the name plant metagenome. Its description in RNAcentral is "partial contains small subunit ribosomal RNA, internal transcribed spacer 1, and 5.8S ribosomal RNA". The record is from RNAcentral.